This 274-nucleotide ribosomal RNA is filed under the name uncultured bacterium. RNAcentral's name for it is "partial 16S ribosomal RNA". It matches the Rfam family "Bacterial small subunit ribosomal RNA", at positions 523 to 796 of the family's 1533-position model. The record is from RNAcentral.
AUACGGAGGGUGCAAGCGUUAAUCGGAAUUACUGGGCGUAAAGAGUACGUAGGUGGUUUAUUAAGUCGGAUGUGAAAGCCCCGGGCUUAACCUGGGAACUGCAUUUGAUACUGGCAAACUAGAGUAUGGUAGAGGCGGGUAGAAUUCCUAGUGUAGCGGUGAAAUGCGUAGAUAUUAGGAGGAAUACCAGUGGCGAAGGCGGCCCGCUGGACCAAUACUGACACUGAGGUACGGAAGCGUGGGUAGCGAACAGGAUUAGAAACCCCAGUAGUCC